This 254-nucleotide ribosomal RNA is filed under the name uncultured prokaryote. Its description in RNAcentral is "partial 16S ribosomal RNA". It matches the Rfam family "Bacterial small subunit ribosomal RNA", at positions 525 to 777 of the family's 1533-position model. The record is from RNAcentral.
ACGUAGGGGGCGAGCGUUGUCCGGAUUUAUUGGGCGUAAAGAGCUCGUAGGCGGUUUGGCAAGUCGGGUGUGAAAUUUCGAGGCUCAACCUCGAAACGCCACUCGAUACUGCCAUGACUGGAGUCCGGUAGAGGAGUGCGGAAUUCCUGGUGUAGCGGUGAAAUGCGCAGAUAUCAGGAGGAACACCAACGGCGAAGGCAGCACUCUGGGCCGGUACUGACGCUGAGGAGCGAAAGCGUGGGGAGCAAACAGGA